This is a long non-coding RNA of Biomphalaria glabrata, 696 nucleotides long. RefSeq lists it as uncharacterized. NCBI's taxonomy places the organism in Eukaryota, Metazoa, Mollusca, Gastropoda, Planorbidae. The transcript has 3 exons. The record is from RefSeq and is a predicted model, not a curated record.
UCCAUUAACACAUUACACACUUUACAGUAUGAACACUCUUGCCAAGCGACAUAAUUAAAGUAGAGAAGUCUGUAUGAAAAAUAAAAUGUCAGCACUUUAUUUUGGAAUUCGUUUUGUUAAUUAGCAAGUGACACUUAGCGGCUGUGACAUAGACAGAAAUAUAAAAUAACAAACCUAAUUAAUGACACGAAAAUAAUCAAUGGCUUCUAUAACAUCGUACCGGCAGGACCUAUAGUUGUGCAAUGCAUUAGUUACAAUUAAUAAUGCUUAUCGGGCAGUUUUCAAUACCAAAGAAAAACUUGGCAUUCUACAGCAACAAACGAGAUGUGGAUGGAUUAAUUUUAUAUACGAUACCGAUCGUAGACAAUUUGUUUGGGGGCUUGGCUACGGAGAUUACAUUGAAGCAAAGCAUAAAGAAUUAUUUUACGGAGAGUAUCCUUACUUUCGGCUUAUAAAUGGAAGUUUAAUUGCCUUCAAAACAUGUGGUGUAUACGUUCCUGAAAAAAGACUUCUUGAGAUGGAUAUAUGUAACCCAGAAUAUUUUCAUCAAGAUUGUAUUUUUCAUGCUAUCUGUGAGAGGCCUGAGUAUACCAGAGAAGAUCUCUAAAUAACACACAAAUCGUAACUAUAUACACUGAAUUCAAUAUAAUAAAGUGAAUUAAAAUAAGAAAAACUAAUUAAAAUUUUAAUAGCAUU